AUGCGCUUGUCGCAUCACACAACUUUGCUGCCUCACGCAACACUGCAGCUUCACACUGCCAUCGGCAUCUCGCCGUGCUCACCGCAUCGCACGGCAGUUUGGCAUAUCUCCUUCUUGCCAUGCCUUUGUCGAAGCAACACCGGACUAGCUACUCUAGACCAUCUACACUAUAUGCAAAACUUAAAACAAAUAUGCAGAUACAAAACAUCAAGAUUAGUUCUAAUAUUCACCCUCCUAAUCUUGAUGUCAGUCUUCGACGCGGAUCACCCACAGCUUCUUGUCGACGCCAUCGUAGCGCCGCAGACCACCGCACUCCAUCUUGUUGUGGACGACGCCAUCGCAGCGGUGGUCACAACCACGCACCACCUUAUCGUGGUCGAUGGCGUCAUAGCGCCCAUUACUACGUCCUCUUGCCGCACCCGGCGACCACCUCUUGACGUGGACGACGCCUUAACGACGCCGAUUGCCACGUCGUCUUUUCACAACAGCUUCGCGCCGUCAAAGCCACUAGCGGCCUCGCACCGCCACAGACCUCCUAGCGGCAUUGCACCGCCACCGACCUCCUAG
This 567-nucleotide ribosomal RNA is filed under the name Triticum aestivum (bread wheat). Its description in RNAcentral is "partial small subunit ribosomal RNA". The record is from RNAcentral. Lineage: Eukaryota; Viridiplantae; Streptophyta; Magnoliopsida; Poales; Poaceae.